UGAAAAGCUUGUCAGAUCUGUAACUGGAGU
RNAcentral lists this non-coding RNA (30 nucleotides) under Mus musculus (house mouse). Lineage: Eukaryota; Metazoa; Chordata; Mammalia; Rodentia; Muridae. The record is from RNAcentral.